GAUGAACGCUGGCGGCGUGCCUAAUACAUGCAAGUCGAGCGAACAGACGAGGAGCUUGCUCCUCUGACGUUAGCGGCGGACGGGUGAGUAACACGUGGAUAACCUACCUAUAAGACUGGGAUAACUUCGGGAAACCGGAGCUAAUACCGGAUAAUAUAUUGAACCGCAUGGUUCAAUAGUGAAAGACGGUUUUGCUGUCACUUAUAGAUGGAUCCGCGCCGCAUUAGCUAGUUGGUAAGGUAACGGCUUACCAAGGCAACGAUGCGUAGCCGACGUGAGAGGGGGAUCGGCCACACUGGAACUUAGACACGGUCCAGACGCCUACGGGAGGCAGCAGUAGGGAAUCUUCCGCAAAGGGCGAAAGCUUGACGGAGCAACGCCGCGUGAGUGAUGAAGGUCUUCGGAUCGUAAAACUCUGUUAUUAGGGAAGAACAAAUGUGUAAGUAACUAUGCACGUCUUGACGGUACCUAAUCAGAAAGCCACGGCUAUCUACGUG
This 497-nucleotide ribosomal RNA is filed under the name uncultured bacterium. RNAcentral's name for it is "partial 16S ribosomal RNA". It matches the Rfam family "Bacterial small subunit ribosomal RNA", at positions 28 to 507 of the family's 1533-position model. The record is from RNAcentral.